RNAcentral lists this small RNA (535 nucleotides) under Pan troglodytes (chimpanzee). RNAcentral describes it as "processed transcript". Lineage: Eukaryota; Metazoa; Chordata; Mammalia; Primates; Hominidae. The record is from RNAcentral.
GUAGUCAUGAACCAGCUGGCUUCUGUAUCUCUCACCAAUCACAGGAAGAUGAGAGACUGCUUAGGCGCCACCACUAGUACCAUGAGUCCCUGCACUGGUUAAAGCCAUCGCCACAACCUGGACAGGCAGCAAGGUCUCAGUCAGUCUCUCCACCUCCAGUUCUCUCCCCACCAAGGAGUCCCAUCUACCCGCUCAGUGAUAGUGAAACCUCAGCCUGCAGGUACCCCAGCCACUCCAGCUCCCGGGUGCUCCUCAAGGACCGGCACCCCCCAGCUCCUUCACCCCAGAAUCCUCAAGAUCCCUCCCCAGAUACUUCCCCACCCACCUGUCCCUUCAAGACCGCCAGCUUCGGUUAUUUGGACAGAAGCCCUUCGGCGUGCAAGAGAGAAGCCCAAAAGGAAAGUGUCCAAGGCGCAGCCCAGGAUGUAGCAGGGGUAGCUGCCUGCCUCCCCCUUGCCCAGAGCACGCCAUUCCCGGGGGCAGCAGCUGGCCCCCGGGGCGUCUUGCUGACCCGUACCGGUACCCGCGCCCACAG